Molecule: ribosomal RNA, 810 nt
Filed under: Pyrenula nitidella
Lineage: Eukaryota; Fungi; Ascomycota; Eurotiomycetes; Pyrenulales; Pyrenulaceae
Description: SSU rRNA
Rfam family: Bacterial small subunit ribosomal RNA
Source: RNAcentral
AUAAAGUUCUAGACAUAAAAGGAAUGAUGACUAUUUUUUGUCUAUAAGUAUUGACCAAAUUACGUGCCAGCCGUCGCGGUAAUACGUAAAAUACAAGUGUUAUUCAUCUUUAAUGGGUUUAAAGGGUACCUAGACAGAAAAUCAAGCCAUAAGAGGGACUAAUUUUCUAGAGUUUUAUAUGAGAAAGAAGAAUUGUUAGAGGAGAGAUGAAAUUCAUUGAUACUAACAAGACUGGGAACAGCGAAGGCAUUUUUCUAUGUAAAAACUGACGUUGAGGGACGAAGCCUAGGGUAACGAAAAGGAUUAGAUACCCUAAUAGUCCUAGGAGAAAAUUAUGAAUGCCAUAGGCUAGAUCUUUUGGCCUAUAAAUGAAAGUGUAAGCAUUUCACCUUACAAGUAAAGCGGCAACGCCGAAACUGAAAUCAUUAGACCGUUACUGAAAACAGUAGUGAAGUAUGUUAUUUAAUUCGAUGGUCCGCGAAUAACCUUACCACAAUUUGAAUAUUAUUAAAUUAUUACAAGCGCUGCACGGCUGUCUUCAGCUUGUGUCGUGAGAUUUUGGUUAGAUCCAUUAAUAAGCGAAAACCCUUACUUUAUUUAAAUUAAAAUUCAAUUUAAUUUAAAUUGAAUUUUAAAAUUAAUUUAAUUUGAAUUUUAUAAUUCCAUUUAAAUAAAAAUUAAAAUUGAAAUUUAAUAGAGUAGUUCGCCACUAUAUUGGUAUGAUAAAAGGGAUUAAGACAAGUCAUCAUGGCCUUAAUAUUGUGGGCUAUAGACGUGCCACAUUUGCCUUUACAAAGGGAUGCGAUAUUG